GGAGGAGGAGGAGGAGGAUGUGGAGGAGACUAGAGCACUGCAGAAUGUUUCUUGUUGGAUAAGAGCUUGCUCGUCAGUCGUGAUAUUUAGAUUUUUUUUUAUUUUUGACAAUAUAAUGAACAGUGUAUUGUUCGGAGUGUUAUCAGAGAGUUAUUUACGAAUUCAUAUGCACGUACAUGUACAUGAACAUUUUUGUAUAUAAUUAUGUAAAAAAAAUUAUGUGAUUAAAAUCAGUGUUGCAUCUUAGAUAUAUUGUUCUGCACCUCAGAAAGAAUCGAAUUGGAACUUUUAUACCUUUAUGUAUAUAGCAUAACUACUAUUUACGCGUACGAAGCUGAUAGUUUUUCUUUUGCGCAGCUUGUCCUAGGUUUAAGUUGAAGUGGAUUAGAAAUGCAGAUACAUUGUAUAUCAUCACUCGAAUGAGUAAGUCUGUUUAUUGGUCAAUUUAGCCUGACCAAUGAGGUACGUCGUUACAUUGCUGAUGUGAUAUAGUCAUGAUUUUUAUUAAUAUGUUAUAUUUGUUUUCAAAACUAUGACUGAGAUGUUGGUAAUUUUGCCCGGUGUGAUACGAUUAUGAGUGCAAUAACUGAUUUUAUCUGUAAAGGUAGAGGACAACACAGGGGAGCAACUAGGGGUGUGAUAUGCUAGAAAACUACAUAAAAUUUUACCGCGGUUUGACUAUAAAUGUAUAUUAAUGUCUUCUAUUGGUUGUUAAGUACAUGCUAAUACAUGUUCAAGGAUUUCAAGUACUGUUUAGAUUAUACGAAUGCAUCGGGACAUUCAUUCAGUACAACGCAGCCAGGUACCGACAAAUGAAACAAUUCCAGUCAGGUACCGUCAAUUUAAAAGAUUCCAGCCAGGUACCGACGAAUUAAAAGAUUCCAGCCAGGUACCGAUACAUUAAAAGAUGCUAGUCAGGUACCGACAAAUGAAAAGAUCCAAUCCAAGUAAAUUUGCUUAUUGUUCUAAGUGGUCUCUGUGUAAACCGGACUUCAUAAUUUGGCAGGUUUGUAGAAAGAUUAAGAUUGUAUAGAUUGUAAAUUUUAUAAUAUAGUUGUGAUAUAUAUCUUUAUAUGUAUGUAAUUAAUAUAUACACACAAAUCAGGAAACGACAUUUUAUCUGUGUUUUAUCCUAUUGUAUCUGUGGAAUACUGUUUAUUUUAUAAUGAUAGGUAUAUUGAUAUGUAAAUCUAGAACGAUAAACAACAUAACAGAGUAGUGUGCCUUGGGUACUCACUCAACAUCAUUGUGGGGUGCAUAAUUCAUCAUUCGCACUGCGAGAGAUAUAUAUACAAAUGUAUGUAUAAUAAAAUAUCACAUUUGCAAACUUGGACCAAAUUUAAAAAAAAAUCAUCGAAAAAAAACUUAUUUCCUCCAAAAGAUACUAAUUUUUGCAUUAGAUACAACUAUUUCUUUUUCACAGCCCAAAUUUCCAUUUGUCAGAGGGAAUAAUCUUUUGUUAAAAAAUAUGAACGCAAUUUUCAAUUGUAAUAUGUUACCUGCAUUAACACAAGUAGAAAAAUAAUUUAUCUUCAUAUAACAUUUUUUGUUUUGUUAAAGAACCAUUAAUCGGGAUGUGCAUUCAAGCAUUGAUAUUGAAUAAUUUUCGAGAUAAUUUUACAGAGGAAUAUAAAUAUAAUCCAUUGAUAAAACUCUUUUCAUUUGCUUAUUAUCAAUUCUGAAAUAAAUUUUAUCAAAGUCGAA
This is a long non-coding RNA of Pecten maximus, 1704 nucleotides long. RefSeq lists it as uncharacterized. The record is from RefSeq and is a predicted model, not a curated record. The transcript is spliced from 2 exons. Lineage: Eukaryota; Metazoa; Mollusca; Bivalvia; Pectinida; Pectinidae.